UACGGAGGAUCCGAGCGUUAUCCGGAUUUAUUGGGUUUAAAGGGUGCGUAGGUGGAUUGGUAAGUCAGUGGUGAAAGUCUGUCGCUUAACGGUAGGAUUGCCAUUGAUACUGUUGGACUUGAAUAUGGAUGAGGUAGGCGGAAUGUGUAGUGUAGCGGUGAAAUGCAUAGAUAUUACACAAAACACCGAUUGCGAAGGCAGCUUACUAAUCCAUCAUUGACGCUGAGGCACGAAAGCGUGGGGAUCAAACAGGAUUAGAUA
RNAcentral lists this ribosomal RNA (261 nucleotides) under uncultured prokaryote. Its description in RNAcentral is "partial 16S ribosomal RNA". It matches the Rfam family "Bacterial small subunit ribosomal RNA", at positions 524 to 784 of the family's 1533-position model. The record is from RNAcentral.